UCCAAUUGAAGCAGAGGACAGUGGCGGACGGGUGAGUAACGCGUGAGGAACCUGCCUUUCAGAGGGGGAUAACAUUUGGAAACAGAUGCUAAUACCGCAUGACACAUAGGUGUCGCAUGGCACUUAUGUCAAAGAUUUAUCGCUGAAAGAUGGCCUCGCGUCUGAUUAGAUAGUUGGUGGGGUAACGGCCUACCAAGUCGACGAUCAGUAGCCGGACUGAGAGGUUGAACGGCCACAUUGGGACUGAGACACGGCCCAAACUCC
RNAcentral lists this ribosomal RNA (264 nucleotides) under uncultured Oscillospiraceae bacterium. RNAcentral's name for it is "partial 16S ribosomal RNA". It matches the Rfam family "Bacterial small subunit ribosomal RNA", at positions 76 to 339 of the family's 1533-position model. The record is from RNAcentral. Lineage: Bacteria; Bacillati; Bacillota; Clostridia; Eubacteriales; Oscillospiraceae.